GAUUUCUGGUUAAGUAACGCUAGCCCGCCCUUGCCAGGGGUGUGCGCUGGUUAGUUGCUUGCCAUCUUUCUAGAAAGCCAGCGUUUGUCAUUCACUUGGCGGACGUGACGCGAUCUAGAUCUUUUACUUUGAAAAAAUUAGAGUGUUUAAAGCAGGCUUACGCUAUGAAUACAUUAGCAUGGAAUAAUAAUCUAGGACUUUCGGUUCUAUUUUGUUGGUGUUCUGGAGCUGAAGUAAUGAUUGAUAGGGAUAGUUGGGGGUGCUAGUAUUCAAUGGCCAGAGGUGAAAUUCUCGGAUUCCUUGAAGACUAACUUAUGCGAAAGCAUU
Molecule: ribosomal RNA, 327 nt
Filed under: uncultured Euglyphida
Lineage: Eukaryota; Cercozoa; Imbricatea; Euglyphida
Description: SSU rRNA
Rfam family: Eukaryotic small subunit ribosomal RNA (bases 51-327)
Source: RNAcentral